This 305-nucleotide ribosomal RNA is filed under the name uncultured bacterium. RNAcentral describes it as "bacterial SSU rRNA". It matches the Rfam family "Bacterial small subunit ribosomal RNA", at positions 335 to 657 of the family's 1533-position model. The record is from RNAcentral.
AUCCUACGGGGCGCAGCAGUGGGGGAUAUUGCACAAUGGGGGAAACCCUGAUGCAGCGACGCCGCGUGUGGGAAGACGGUCCUCUGGAUUGUAAACCACUGUCCCCAGGGACGAAGAUGACGGUACCUGGGGAGGAAGCCACGGCUAACUACGUGCCAGCAGCCGCGGUAAUACGUAGGUGGCGAGCGUUGUCCGGAUUUACUGGGCGUAAAGGGAGCGUAGGCGGAUUUUUAAGUGAGAUGUGAAAUACUCGGGCUCAACUUGAGUGCUGCAUUUCAAACUGGAAGUCUAGAGUGCAGGAGAGG